CUAAGCGUACACGGUGGAUGCCCUGGCAGUCAGAGGCGAUGAAGGACGUGCUAAUCUGCGAUAAGCGUCGGUAAGGUGAUAUGAACCGUUAUAACCGGCGAUUUCCGAAUGGGGAAACCCAGUGUGAUUCGUCACACUAUCAUUAACUGAAUCCAUAGGUUAAUGAGGCGAACCGGGGGAACUGAAACAUCUAAGUACCCCGAGGAAAAGAAAUCAACCGAGAUUCCCCCAGUAGCGGCGAGCGAACGGGGAGGAGCCCAGAGCCUGAAUCAGUGUGUGUGUUAGUGGAAGCGUCUGGAAAGGCGCGCGAUACAGGGUGACAGCCCCGUACACAAAAAUGCACAUGCUGUGAGCUCGAUGAGUAGGGCGGGACACGUGGUAUCCUGUCUGAAUAUGGGGGGACCAUCCUCCAAGGCUAAAUACUCCUGACUGACCGAUAGUGAACCAGUACCGUGAGGGAAAGGCGAAAAGAACCCCGGCGAGGGGAGUGAAAAAGAACCUGAAACCGUGUACGUACAAGCAGUGGGAGCACAGAGCAAUCUGUGUGACUGCGUACCUUUUGUAUAAUGGGUCAGCGACUUAUAUUCUGUAGCAAGGUUAACCGAAUAGGGGAGCCGAAGGGAAACCGAGUCUUAACUGGGCGUUAAGUUGCAGGGUAUAGACCCGAAACCCGGUGAUCUAGCCAUGGGCAGGUUGAAGGUUGGGUAACACUAACUGGAGGACCGAACCGACUAAUGUUGAAAAAUUAGCGGAUGACUUGUGGCUGGGGGUGAAAGGCCAAUCAAACCGGGAGAUAGCUGGUUCUCCCCGAAAGCUAUUUAGGUAGCGCCUCGUGAAUUCAUCUCCGGGGGUAGAGCACUGUUUCGGCAAGGGGGUCAUCCCGACUUACCAACCCGAUGCAAACUGCGAAUACCGGAGAAUGUUAUCACGGGAGACACACGGCGGGUGCUAACGUCCGUCGUGAAGAGGGAAACAACCCAGACCGCCAGCUAAGGUCCCAAAGUCAUGGUUAAGUGGGAAACGAUGUGGGAAGGCCCAGACAGCCAGGAUGUUGGCUUAGAAGCAGCCAUCAUUUAAAGAAAGCGUAAUAGCUCACUGGUCGAGUCGGCCUGCGCGGAAGAUGUAACGGGGCUAAACCAUGCACCGAAGCUGCGGCAGCGACGCUUAUGCGUUGUUGGGUAGGGGAGCGUUCUGUAAGCCUGCGAAGGUGUGCUGUGAGGCAUGCUGGAGGUAUCAGAAGUGCGAAUGCUGACAUAAGUAACGAUAAAGCG
Molecule: ribosomal RNA, 1271 nt
Filed under: Escherichia coli
Lineage: Bacteria; Pseudomonadati; Pseudomonadota; Gammaproteobacteria; Enterobacterales; Enterobacteriaceae
Description: partial 23S ribosomal RNA
Rfam family: Bacterial large subunit ribosomal RNA
Source: RNAcentral